UACGUAGGGGGCUAGCGUUGUCCGGAAUCAUUGGGCGUAAAGAGCGUGUAGGCGGCCCGGUAAGUCCGCUGUGAAAGUCGGGGGCUCAACCCUCGAAUGCCGGUGGAUACUGUCGGGCUAGAGUGCGGAAGAGGAGAAUGGAAUUCCCGGUGUAGCGGUGAAAUGCGCAGAUAUCGGGAAGAACACCCGUGGCGAAGGCGGUUCUCUGGGACGGUACUGACGCUGAGAAGCGAAAGCAUGGGGAGCGAACAGG
RNAcentral lists this ribosomal RNA (253 nucleotides) under uncultured bacterium. RNAcentral's name for it is "partial 16S ribosomal RNA". It matches the Rfam family "Bacterial small subunit ribosomal RNA", at positions 524 to 776 of the family's 1533-position model. The record is from RNAcentral.